UCCAUAAAUAUGUAUACAUUUUUCACCUUAAUCCUUUGCAAUAAGGUGAAAAAAUGUAUACAUAUUUAUGAACUCGACUGUACGCGCUUUUGUGACUAUAUAUAAGUCCAAUGAUUUGGCUUAGUUUCUCACUGCGCUUUCAGUAAACAUGAAGUCCGUCAUUAUAUUGAUUUUAUUCGGAUUGGUUGGUGGAAUUCUCUGUGACUUUCUCAUGAUCGACCCUCGCUAUCAGCGGCUAAGGCAUCAUAAAAAACGCCUGCAUGGGAACGGUCUCGAUUGUCGUAAGAGCUGUCCACGGCCGCAUCCUCCGUACAGACCGUUCUGUGCCACUAAUUAUCGCAGUUAUCUCAGCGAGUGCCUGAUGUUAUGCGACAGCAAGGGUAUCGGUCUCUACAAGGAUCACGACGGUCCAUGUUAGGUUGAAAAACGUUUCUAUGUGUGGCUAAUAAACACUUACAUAUG
Long non-coding RNA from Cydia pomonella (codling moth), 462 nucleotides. RefSeq lists it as uncharacterized. The record is from RefSeq and is a predicted model, not a curated record. Lineage: Eukaryota; Metazoa; Arthropoda; Insecta; Lepidoptera; Tortricidae. The transcript is spliced from 2 exons.